GAUGAAGAACGCAGCGAAAUGCGAUAAGUAAUGUGAAUUGCAGAAUCCAGUGAAUCAUCGAAUCUUUGAACGCACAUUGCGCCCGCCAGCAUUCUGGCGGGCACGCCUGUUCGAGCGUCAUUUCAACCCUCGACCUCCCUUUGGGGAAGUCGGCGUUGGGGACCGGCAGCACACCGCCGGCCCUGAAAUGGAGUGGCGGCCCGUCCGCGGCGACCUCUGCGUAGUAAACCAACUCGCACCGGAACCCCGACGUGGCCACGCCGUAAAACACCCAACUUCUGAACGUUGACCUCGAAUCAGGUAGGACUACCCGCUGAACUUAAGCAUAUCAAUAAGCGGAGGA
Molecule: unclassified non-coding RNA, 343 nt
Filed under: soil metagenome
Description: partial contains 5.8S ribosomal RNA, internal transcribed spacer 2, and large subunit ribosomal RNA
Rfam family: 5.8S ribosomal RNA (bases 1-120)
Source: RNAcentral